Long non-coding RNA from Chenopodium quinoa (quinoa), 3291 nucleotides. RefSeq lists it as uncharacterized. The record is from RefSeq and is a predicted model, not a curated record. The transcript is spliced from 5 exons. NCBI's taxonomy places the organism in Eukaryota, Viridiplantae, Streptophyta, Magnoliopsida, Caryophyllales, Amaranthaceae.
CUUCAAACACAUUUAACCACAUUCAAGUGAGAGAAAGCUAGCGAGAGAAAGCUUUGUUUCCGCCCAUGGUUUCCUGAUUUUGCUGGUUUCUUGUCACUAAAUCAAAAGCUAUGGCCCGAAAGAAAAAGCAAUCUACUCCUGCUCUUGCUAAAAUCACUAAUGAAAUAGUUGAAUCUUUGCUUGCUCCUACUUCGGUAGGGUUUUCACCAUUGCAUGAAGUUUUUUAUGAAGGUGAUGAGUUGGUAACUCCUGCUCCUGGUCUUGUGCAUCCGUCAGCAGGGAAGGUAACUAGGAGGGACGCUGAACUAGCUCCUAGCUCUCAAUUUUGGAUCUAUUAGCCCCAAAUCGACUGCAACAGUUUCUAAUCCCCCGAUUACUGUUCCAUUGGCUACUGGUCAAGCGGUUAGCUCUUCAGCUACACCUAUUGUGGUUCCUGGUAAUCAAGCUGAUUUUCCGCCUCUUUCUAGCUCUAAUGUUGCAGAUACUGGUGAUUUUCGAGGUAGGGUGACUGGGGUACACGCUUUCAAUGGUAAACUGAAUGCGAAGGGGGUUUCUCUGAGUUAUUUCCCUCCUCAGAUUAAGGAUGGUAAGUCUAUUGCUGUAUUACCUACUGAUGAAAUUGAAGAGGGUACUAGGAAGUGGAGUAAUGCAGCAGUCUUGUAUGUGGUUGAAUUUUAUCCUACUAUUGCUUCUGCUAAGCGUUUUAUUGUGAAUGAAUGGGGAAUUGAUAAUAAACCCGAGGUUUUCUAGCAUUAUGAGCGAUAUUUUAUUAUCAAUUUGUGUUCUCAAACUGACUUGAAUGCUGUAUUGUGUGGGGGUCCUCACAUGUUUUAUGGAAAGCCGGCUAUUGUGAAACCUUGGUCUGACAAAAAUUCGAUUUCAAUGCUGAAAUUUUGCGUACUGUACCUCUGUGGAUUAAGUUGCCUAAUCUUCCUCUCAAUUGUUGGGGUCCUGAAACACUAGGUAGGAUUGGCAGCACUCUUAGUGUUCCAAUUUGUGCUGAUGAAUGCACAACGAGGCAAUUAAGGGUUUCUUUUGCUCGGAUGUUGGUUGAAAUUGACAUUACUAAGCCUCUAGAAAAAUCUGUCUAGGUGGAGAGCCCUAAAGUAGAGGUUGUGGAGUUGACUGUGGAGUAUGAAUGGUCUCCUCCUUAUUGCGGGAAGUGCAAUAAUGUUGGUCAUAUAUGUGAGGAGCCGAAACUUAAACAGAACCAGCCUGCUGCUAAGCCUCAAACCCCGAAGAAAACUUGAGUUCAGAAAGUGAAAUAAAGAGGGUUCUAGUUUACCAUCAAAGACUAAUGGAGGGUGGGAAACUAUGAAAAAGAAAGGGAAAGAAGUUGUUGAGAACAUGAUGCCUGUGCUGAUUACAAACAAGUAUGAUGUGUUAUCUGAUGAACAAAAUGCAGAAGACAAUGUUCUUGUGAGGCAGAAUAUUACUGAACCGAGCGGGGGUGGGCCCCAUAUACAGCAAUGAUCCUCACUGUGUGGAAUGUUAGGGGUCUUAAUGAACCCAGUAAGGUGGCUGAUGUCAGGCACCUCCUUCAUAGAACUAAAUUUGAGUUAAUUUGUUUGUUGGAAACUAGAGUUAAACAGCAUAAGAGUAGUGGUAUACAGAAGAAGAUCUCUUAUGGCUUAACUUGGGUGUGUAAUUAUUCUGUUUCUAGAAAAGGAAGAAUAUGGCUCGGCUGGAAGAGUGAUAGGCUCCAUGUUGAGUUAAUAAGUAUUCACACUCAGUUCAUUCAUUGUCUUGUUAGUUAUGUUGAUUACAGUAGGCAGAUUGAUGUUUCCUUUGUCUAUGGGUUGCAUAAUAUUCAGGAUAAGAAAGAGUUGUGGGGAGGUAUAAGGGCUAUUGGCCCUGUGUAUCUUCCUUGGAUUUGCACAGGUGAUUUCAAUUCUGUGUUGCAAGCUGAUGAUAGAAUUAAUGGGAGUGAGGUAACAGAUUAUGAAGUUAGAGAUUUCAAAGAGUUUGUGGAGGCACUAGUAGAAAAAAUUAAAUAGGCACCCCCCCUAUAGCACCGGUUCUUAAAAACCAAUGCCAAAUAAAACGGGCGGGACCAAAAAAAUUAAGAGUUGGCACCGGUUCUAACCAAAACCGGUGCCAAGCAUGCAAUUAGCACCGGUUCAAACCGGUGGCAACUUGUAAAAUUAAAAAAAAAAAAAGAUGGGGAAGGAGUUGGCACCGGUUCUCCUUAAACAGGUGGCAAUUAAGGUAGUUAGAACCGGUUCAAACCGGUGCCAUUUAAAAAAAUAAAACGCGGGUUUUGCUGCUUCAACUUGGUUCAACGGCAUUCUUUCUUCAUUCCUCGUUUUGGCUUCAAAAAUUCCCAGACAUUUUUGCCCUAUUCUCUUCUCCCUCCAUCUCCAUUGAAAGGCUGUGCGAGCUUUCUCCUCUCCAUUGAAGCAGUUAAGCUAAGCGACCUUACUCACAUCUUUCAUUCAAUUCAAUUCAAUUUUCUGCAUUCCCUCUUCCCAAACCCUUCCUCCAUUGAAGCUUCCAUUGAAGCUUUUGCCUCCUCACGCACGCAGCCUGUCUGGGCUUUGUUCUUCUCCUCACGCACGCACUCAGUUCUUCUCUUCUGCCUCCCUCCAUGCAUUAUUGAAGCAGCUUCGACCUAGGGUUUGUCAAUUGCUACUUAACUACUCCAUUAAACGCGCAAGGCUCCCCCUCCAUUAAACGCACAAGGCUGCCCCUCCACAAAUGCUAUAAUGAAAAAGAUUCAGAGGAAUUUUUGGGCGAAGCAUUGACCUUGGCAUUGACCUUCUAGUUGAGAGUGUUGAGACUUUAUAGGUACUCAGAGGAGGAUGAGUUUACUACACUUUGGGCGGCAAAAGGUAGUUUUGUGCAAUGGCCAUGUGCUUGGAUACGGUUGAUGAACCAGCCAUCGAGGAAAAGCCAAACUCCAAAGAAGAGGGUGGAGGGGCCAAAAAGCAUUGAUCAACCGAUGCCAAAGAAGAGGAGUGAACAUGGCUCGGUGAGUGGAAAAGCGUUGAACAAGAGCUCUUCACGAGGUUCAGCUAUGCAAGCUACUCCACUAGUUGAAGACACGGUGCUUCAAUCGCUCUCUAAGGAGUUAACUUAACUGCACAACCGUGUUUGCGUGUUGCCUAGUGACAGCCCCAUUCAAGUUCCACUACCUAAGGAAAUGUUCCACUACGAUGAUGAUGCAAUGGCAUGGCUAUUCAAAGAAGAUGUGAAGGAAUUUCUAAGUGGUGCAAUGCUUAACAUUUCCCUCAUUCAAAUAUGCAUCAGGUAAUUCAACUAGUACUCAAUUUAUGUUAUUCAGUUUAGUGG